UUAAGCGACUAAGCGUACACGGUGGAUGCCCUGGCAGUCAGAGGCGAUGAAGGGCGUGCUAAUCUGCGAUAAGCGCCGGUAAGGUGAUAUGAACCGUUAUAACCGGCGAUACCCGAAUGGGGAAACCCAGUGUGAUUCGUCACACUAUCAUUAACUGAAUCCAUAGGUUAAUGAGGCGAACCGGGGGAACUGAAACAUCUAAGUACCCCGAGGAAAAGAAAUCAACCGAGAUUCCCCCAGUAGCGGCGAGCGAACGGGGAGGAGCCCAGAGCCUGAAUCAGCAUGUGUGUUAGUGGAAGCGUCUGGAAAGGCGCGCGAUACAGGGUGACAGCCCCGUACACAAAAGCGCAUGUGCUGUGAGCUCGAUGAGUAGGGCGGGACACGUGGUAUCCUGUCUGAAUAUGGGGGGACCAUCCUCCAAGGCUAAAUACUCCUGACUGACCGAUAGUGAACCAGUACCGUGAGGGAAAGGCGAAAAGAACCCCGGCGAGGGGAGUGAAAAAGAACCUGAAACCGUGUACGUACAAGCAGUGGGAGCACAGGUUUACCUGUGUGACUGCGUACCUUUUGUAUAAUGGGUCAGCGACUUAUAUUCUGUAGCAAGGUUAACCGAAUAGGGGAGCCGGAGGGAAACCGAGUCUUAAUUGGGCGUUAAGUUGCAGGGUAUAGACCCGAAACCCGGUGAUCUAGCCAUGGGCAGGUUGAAGGUUGGGUAACACUAACUGGAGGACCGAACCGACUAAUGUUGAAAAAUUAGCGGAUGACCUGUGGCUGGGGGUGAAAGGCCAAUCAAACCGGGAGAUAGCUGGUUCUCCCCGAAAGCUAUUUAGGUAGCGCCUCGUGAAUUCAUCUCCGGGGGUAGAGCACUGUUUCGGCUAGGGGGCCAUCCCGGCUUACCAACCCGAUGCAAACUGCGAAUACCGGAGAAUGUUAUCACGGGAGACACACGGCGGGUGCUAACGUCCGUCGUGAAGAGGGAAACAACCCAGACCGCCAGCUAAGGUCCCAAAGUCAUGGUUAAGUGGGAAACGAUGUGGGAAGGCCCAGACAGCCAGGAUGUUGGCUUAGAAGCAGCCAUCAUUUAAAGAAAGCGUAAUAGCUCACUGGUCGAGUCGGCCUGCGCGGAAGAUGUAACGGGGCUAAACCAUGCACCGAAGCUGCGGCAGCGACACUGUGUGUUGUUGGGUAGGGGAGCGUUCUGUAAGCCUGUGAAGGUGGCCUGUGAGGGUUGCUGGAGGUAUCAGAAGUGCGAAUGCUGACAUAAGUAACGAUAAAGCGGGUGAAAAGCCCGCUCGCCGGAAGACCAAGGGUUCCUGUCCAACGUUAAUCGGGGCAGGGUGAGUCGACCCCUAAGGCGAGGCCGAAAGGCGUAGUCGAUGGGAAACGGGUUAAUAUUCCCGUACUUGGUGUUACUGCGAAGGGGGGACGGAGAAGGCUAUGUUGGCCGGGCGACGGUUGUCCCGGUUUAAGCGUGUAGGUGUGUGUUCCAGGUAAAUCCGGUUCACUUUAACACUGAGGCGUGACGACGAGGCACUACGGUGCUGAAGCAACAAAUGCCCUGCUUCCAGGAAAAGCCUCUAAGCAUCAGGUAACAUCAAAUCGUACCCCAAACCGACACAGGUGGUCAGGUAGAGAAUACCAAGGCGCUUGAGAGAACUCGGGUGAAGGAACUAGGCAAAAUGGUGCCGUAACUUCGGGAGAAGGCACGCUGACACGUAGGUGAAGUGAUUUACUCACGGAGCUGAAGUCAGUCGAAGAUACCAGCUGGCUGCAACUGUUUAUUAAAAACACAGCACUGUGCAAACACGAAAGUGGACGUAUACGGUGUGACGCCUGCCCGGUGCCGGAAGGUUAAUUGAUGGGGUCAGCGCAAGCGAAGCUCCUGAUCGAAGCCCCGGUAAACGGCGGCCGUAACUAUAACGGUCCUAAGGUAGCGAAAUUCCUUGUCGGGUAAGUUCCGACCUGCACGAAUGGCGUAAUGAUGGCCAGGCUGUCUCCACCCGAGACUCAGUGAAAUUGAACUCGCUGUGAAGAUGCAGUGUACCCGCGGCAAGACGGAAAGACCCCGUGAACCUUUACUAUAGCUUGACACUGAACAUUGAGCCUUGAUGUGUAGGAUAGGUGGGAGGCUUUGAAGUGUGGACGCCAGUCUGCAUGGAGCCGACCUUGAAAUACCACCCUUUAAUGUUUGAUGUUCUAACGUGGACCCGUAAUCCGGGUUGCGGACAGUGUCUGGUGGGUAGUUUGACUGGGGCGGUCUCCUCCUAAAGAGUAACGGAGGAGCACGAAGGUUGGCUAAUCCUGGUCGGACAUCAGGAGGUUAGUGCAAUGGCAUAAGCCAGCUUGACUGCGAGCGUGACGGCGCGAGCAGGUGCGAAAGCAGGUCAUAGUGAUCCGGUGGUUCUGAAUGGAAGGGCCAUCGCUCAACGGAUAAAAGGUACUCCGGGGAUAACAGGCUGAUACCGCCCAAGAGUUCAUAUCGACGGCGGUGUUUGGCACCUCGAUGUCGGCUCAUCACAUCCUGGGGCUGAAGUAGGUCCCAAGGGUAUGGCUGUUCGCCAUUUAAAGUGGUACGCGAGCUGGGUUUAGAACGUCGUGAGACCAGUUCGGUCCCCUAUCUGCCGUGGGCGCUGGAGAACUGAGGGGGGCUGCUCCUAGUACGAGAGGACCGGAGUGGACGCAUCACUGGUGUUCGGGUUGUCAUGCCAAUGGCACUGCCCGGUAGCUAAAUGCGGAAGAGAUAAGUGCUGAAAGCAUCUAAGCACGAAACUUGCCCCGAGAUGAGUUCUCCCUGAGACUUUAAGUCUCCUGAAGGAACGUUGAAGACGACGACGUUGAUAGGCCGGGUGUGUAAGCGCAGCGAUGCGUUGAGCUAACCGGUACUAAUGAACCGUGAGGCUUAACCUU
RNAcentral lists this ribosomal RNA (2907 nucleotides) under Salmonella enterica subsp. enterica. RNAcentral describes it as "23S ribosomal RNA". It matches the Rfam family "Bacterial large subunit ribosomal RNA". Lineage: Bacteria; Pseudomonadati; Pseudomonadota; Gammaproteobacteria; Enterobacterales; Enterobacteriaceae. The record is from RNAcentral.